GCAAGAACCGACGCGGCGGCCAGGAACAAAGAUGUGGGUUUACAAGUCCGUAGGCGACCAAGAAAUAAGCAGGUUCAGUCUGGGCAAAGGCAUGGGACAACAAACGCAUAGGGAAAGUCACAAAAGCUGACAAAAAACCAGAGGGUGGAUACGGCAAGCUUCCCAAGAAAGGUGCAAGACAAUAGUCAAGAAACAAUUCAAGAGCCAGCAACUUUAUCUAGCAUCAUGGUUGUACAGGAGGCAAGAACAGGGAGAUCAGAUUUGGGGCAAAGAUUCAAGUCAGGCUUGCAACAUUUUUUGGCUACAUGGAGGCAAAUCUGCAAGUAGUAUAGCAAUGGGGGGUAGGUACAUCUGAGGAGUUCAACUAGCUAUAGUAGAACUAAAAAGAAUCUCCUGGUCAAAACAAUUCCAACGACCCUGUUACCUUUCUGGCAGUUUGCCCAGUUCUGGCAAUUUUUUUGCCCACAUUUUCUUCAGAUUGUUGCCUGAUCAGCACAAAGAGUUGCAGAGAAAGAUUGUUGACUGAUCAGCACAAAGAGUUGCAGAGAAGGUUGUGUUCUUCACGAUUU
Molecule: long non-coding RNA, 569 nt
Organism: Triticum aestivum (bread wheat)
Lineage: Eukaryota; Viridiplantae; Streptophyta; Magnoliopsida; Poales; Poaceae
Exons: 2
Source: RefSeq, a predicted model, not a curated record